UACGUAGGGCGCAAGCGUUGUCCGGAAUCAUUGGGCGUAAAGAGCUCGUAGGCGGUUUGUCGCGUCUGCCGUGAAAGUCCGGGGCUCAACUCCGGAUCUGCGGUGGGUACGGGGCAGACUAGAGUGAUGUAGGGGAGACUGGAAUUCCUGGUGUAGCGGUGAAAUGCGCAGAUAUCAGGAGGAACACCGAUGGCGAAGGCAGGUCUCUGGGCAUUAACUGACGCUGAGGAGCGAAAGCAUGGGGAGCGAACAGG
Molecule: ribosomal RNA, 254 nt
Filed under: uncultured bacterium
Lineage: Bacteria
Description: partial 16S ribosomal RNA
Rfam family: Bacterial small subunit ribosomal RNA
Source: RNAcentral